RNAcentral lists this ribosomal RNA (465 nucleotides) under uncultured bacterium. RNAcentral describes it as "bacterial SSU rRNA". It matches the Rfam family "Bacterial small subunit ribosomal RNA", at positions 462 to 923 of the family's 1533-position model. The record is from RNAcentral.
ACACAGAGUGACGGUACCUGCAGAAAAAAGCACCGGCUAACUACGUGCCAGCAGCCGCGGUAAUACGUAGGGUGCAAGCGUUAUCCGGAAUUAUUGGGCGUAAAGAGCUCGUAGGCGGUUUGUCGCGUCUGCUGUGAAAACUGGGGGCUCAACCCCCAGCCUGCAGUGGGUACGGGCAGACUAGAGUGCGGUAGGGGAGAUUGGAAUUCCUGGUGUAGCGGUGGAAUGCGCAGAUAUCAGGAGGAACACCAAUGGCGAAGGCAGAUCUCUGGGCCGUAACUGACGCUGAGGAGCGAAAGCAUGGGGAGCGAACAGGAUUAGAUACCCUUGUAGUCCAAGCCGUAAACGUUGGGAACUAGAUGUAGGGGCCAUUCCACGGUUUCUGUGUCGCAGCUAACGCAUUAAGUUCCCCGCCUGGGGAGUACGGCCGCAAGGCUAAAACUCAAAGGAAUUGACGGAAUCGAA